GGGCCCGCACAAGCGGUGGAGUAUGUGGUUUAAUUCGAUGCAACGCGAAGAACCUUACCAGGGUUUGACAUCCUGCGAAUCUCUUGGAAACAGGAGAGUGCCUUCGGGAACGCAGUGACAGGUGGUGCAUGGCUGUCGUCAGCUCGUGUCGUGAGAUGUUGGGUUAAGUCCCGCAACGAGCGCAACCCACGUCUUUAGUUGCCAGCAUUUAGUUGGGCACUCUAGAGAGACUGCCGGUGAUAAACCGGAGGAAGGUGUGGAUGACGUCAAGUCAUCAUGCCCCUUACAUCCUGGGCUACACACGUACUACAAUGCUACGGACAAAGAGCAGCAAGUUCGCGAGAGCUAGCAAAUCCCAUAAACCGUGGCUCAGUUCAGAUCGUAGGCUGCAACUCGCCUACGUGAAGGAGGAAUCGCUAGUAAUCGCAGGUC
Molecule: ribosomal RNA, 432 nt
Filed under: uncultured bacterium
Lineage: Bacteria
Description: bacterial SSU rRNA
Rfam family: Bacterial small subunit ribosomal RNA
Source: RNAcentral